Long non-coding RNA from Lutra lutra (Eurasian river otter), 582 nucleotides. RefSeq lists it as uncharacterized. NCBI's taxonomy places the organism in Eukaryota, Metazoa, Chordata, Mammalia, Carnivora, Mustelidae. The record is from RefSeq and is a predicted model, not a curated record. The transcript is spliced from 4 exons.
CCCUUCUCCGGAGAUCCGGCGCUUGGUGUUACUACGUAUGAGAACCCGCACGGCGCGGGGUAGCCGGCUGGAACCAAGACGGGCGAGCUUCGGCGCUAGGAGGAGUGGCCCCAUGCGAGGCCAGACUGAGCGGAUGGCGGGGAGCGCAGCGGAUCCACCAGGGGAAGGCGCCGGCCGAGAGCGGCCGCCCGGGGACCCCAUCUGUUGGCCAAGGGCCUAGUACUACUUCUUGGCAUUGUGUGGAAGACUUUUCACAUGCUAACUGAGCCUUCAGACAACCCUAUGAGGUCCACCUGCUGCACUGGGAGCUCUUCAAGGGAAUCUGUCUGAUCAACUCUGAGCAUGAGCCCACACAGCAAAACCAGUGGGUAUUUGUUGAAUGAACAAAUAAAUGAAGAAAGAAAGUUAAAAGAAAAGCAAAGCUUGAGGUUGUUAUGGUAGUCUAAUGUCUCUUACACUUGGAAAACUUUGUAUAAAAAUGCAAUAAUUUCUAAAUUAUGGAUAUAAUCUACUUCAUUAUAGAAAAUUUGGAACAUAUAGAAAAGCACAAAUGAGAAAAUAAAAUUAAUCCUUAGGACUAGC